This 540-nucleotide ribosomal RNA is filed under the name uncultured bacterium. RNAcentral describes it as "bacterial SSU rRNA". It matches the Rfam family "Bacterial small subunit ribosomal RNA", at positions 28 to 550 of the family's 1533-position model. The record is from RNAcentral.
GAUGAACGCUGGCGGCGUGCCUAAUACAUGCAAGUCGAGCGAACAGAUAAGGAGCUUGCUCCUUUGACGUUAGCGGCGGACGGGUGAGUAACACGUGGGUAACCUACCUAUAAGACUGGAAUAACUCCGGGAAACCGGGGCUAAUGCCGGAUAAUAUUUAGAACCGCAUGGUUCUAAAGUGAAAGAUGGUUUUACUAUCACUUAUAGAUGGACCCGCGCCGUAUUAGCUAGUUGGUGGGGUAAUGGCUUACCAAGGCAACGAUACGUAGCCGACCUGAGAGGGUGAUCGGCCACACUGGAACUGAGACACGGUCCAGACUCCUACGGGAGGCAGCAGUAGGGAAUCUUCCGCAAUGGGCGAAAGCCUGACGGAGCAACGCCGCGUGAGUGAUGAAGGUCUUCGGAUCGUAAAACUCUGUUAUUAGGGAAGAACAAAUGUGUAAGUAACUGUGCACGUCUUGACGGUACCUAAUCAGAAAGCCACGGCUAACUACGUGCCAGCAGCCGCGGUAAUACGUAGGUGGCAAGCGUUAUCCGGAA